CUGCGCUUGAUUUGUGCACAUACCAUUCUUAACAACACUUGGCAAUUAAUGGGAGCUAAACAAACUCUGGAAUAUCAACAAGGAUUGAUUUAACAACCAAAAUGUCCUGGGGAUUCAGUGCUGGUACCCCUAAUAGACCAUUCGACUUGUUUUGAUGAAUGGGACGACAGUAACCUAAACACAAGGCCUCAGUUGCUAGAACAAUAAAUCAAUCACAUCCAACUAACCUACAGAAGUAGGUAUUGUCUUCCAAAACCAGCCAUAACCACCACACACACGCAAGCGGAGAAAAAAAUAAAAAAUAUCGACUCAAAGAUGCAUCACAAUCCACAUGGCACACACGAAUUCCCCUUGGGAGGAAAUAAUACCUCCAACGUUAGCAAGCUAGAAAACACAACAGCAACUAACAACUGAAAUGGAUGGCACUGGCUCCUGGGGCUUCCCCAAAGUAACCAACUACAAAGAGGCCAGAAGAUCAUAAUUGCCUUGAGGCAAUGCUCUCAUAGGGAACCAUUUAAUUCCCAAAAGCUGCAAAAGAAAUCUUCCUCCCUGUAGUUACUAGCAUUUUACCGUUUUGCAAGGCCAGAUCAUGUAAAUUCCUUGCAGUGAACCAUUUAGUCAAUAUGCUUCUGUAGCAGGGCAUGCAAAACAACAAAUGCACAUCUCUAGAUUUUAACUUACCAAGCCAUCAUACAAUAUGCAAUAAACGCCACAAAGUUGUAAGAAAAUACAUAAGCAAAUAUGAUCCAAGUAAAUAAGAGAAUUAUAUUCUGAAGUCUGAACCAGUAAUAACUAGCUACAAUAGCAGGGCCAUUGAUGGCAACAACUACUUAGAAACCGCUUUCACCGCCAAAACUUCCAUUCCCACGAAAAUUGUUGUUGAAAGUACGUGGACCACUAGGUCUUUCUUGCGCAUAACUCACACGAAUGUUUCGCCCAUGUAAUUCCUGGCCAUCCAUGGCUGACAAAGCUGAGCUUGCAGACUCAACACUUGAGUAGUCAACAAACCCAAAUCCCCUUGACCUCCCAGAAUCUCUAUCAGUGAUAACCCUUGCACUAACCACGUCACCAAACCCAGAAAAAGCAUCCUUUAGAGACUCGUCAUUGGUUCCGAAUGAAAGACCUCCCACAAAAAGCUUCGUAGAUGACAUGCACCGAAUAGAAUUCAACAUAGAAGCCAUUUGAACAUGCCCAUUCUGGGAAAAGUUUUGCCUCACCAGGCUCCCAAGUUUGUUACAAAAAGCCAUUUAGAAUACUUGGCUUUGAGAAGAAAAUCGACGAAAACAAAAGGGAGCGGCUAGGGUUUAAGAGCCGAGUAGAAUCGAGAGUGCUCAAGUAUCUUCCAG
This 1346-nucleotide unclassified non-coding RNA is filed under the name Hevea brasiliensis (rubber tree). The record is from RNAcentral. Lineage: Eukaryota; Viridiplantae; Streptophyta; Magnoliopsida; Malpighiales; Euphorbiaceae.